AGUUUUACUGGACGAAAAAUUAUCUUUGAGAAUAAUAUAACAGGGAAAUACGUACAUAGUCUUUGAAUAAGUAACCAAGAACAACUCAUUAUAUUUAAAUUAUUCAAUAUUAGGAUAGGACAACUGUUGUAUCUUGUAGAUUUCUAUAGAUACAUGAUUACCUAUAUAAAUAAUGAUAACAUAAAAAGACCAUCAUCAGUUUGCACAAGUUUUUUAAAUUCCUACAAAAUUUAAACAAUAUUUUGUACAUCUAAACUGUAACUGUAAAGGCCUAAUUCAUCAUAAGUUUUGGUAUAAUAUUAUAAUUUUAUAGUAGCCAUAGUUUUGACAAGAGAUUAAAUAGAAUAAACCAGAAAUGGAAGUAUUGUUAAUGAAAACCAGACGUCUUACUUAAAACAUUAAAGAAAAUUCAUUGACUUUAUGAAAAAAAAAAAUUGCAUCUGCUUCAGAAUAGUAAUGAACAUACCGUUGUGAGGGUUACUGAAGUGCAAAAUUGAGGAUGAACCAGUUUGUAUGCUACCAACUGUUUGAACAACUGAUUUUUUCGCAACAUAAUAUAUUAACGAUGCUUACCAACGUUUAUAACAAAAUAUCUUAUAAUGUUAUAAUAUGGUAAUAAAUGUAGUGAAGUUAAAAAAAAA
Molecule: long non-coding RNA, 641 nt
Organism: Aphis gossypii (cotton aphid)
Lineage: Eukaryota; Metazoa; Arthropoda; Insecta; Hemiptera; Aphididae
Exons: 2
Source: RefSeq, a predicted model, not a curated record